Molecule: small nuclear RNA, 112 nt
Filed under: Rhodnius prolixus
Lineage: Eukaryota; Metazoa; Arthropoda; Insecta; Hemiptera; Reduviidae
Description: U5 spliceosomal RNA
Rfam family: U5 spliceosomal RNA
About the family: U5 RNA is a component of both types of known spliceosome. The precise function of this molecule is unknown, though it is known that the 5' loop is required for splice site selection and p220 binding, and that both the 3' stem-loop and the Sm site are important for Sm protein binding and cap methylation.
Source: Rfam by way of RNAcentral
AUACUCUGGUCUCUCUUCAGAUCGCUUAAAUCUUUCACCUUUUACCAACGAUUUCAGUGGAGAGGGACUGCUUGAUGAGUCUAAAUCUAAUUUUUUGACUGUAAUGGUACAU